This 140-nucleotide ribosomal RNA is filed under the name uncultured eukaryote. Its description in RNAcentral is "partial 18S ribosomal RNA". It matches the Rfam family "Eukaryotic small subunit ribosomal RNA", at positions 1299 to 1458 of the family's 1831-position model. The record is from RNAcentral.
UGGUGGAGUGAUUUGUCUGGUUAAUUCCGUUAACGAACGAGACCCCGCCUGCUAAAUAGUGCUGGGAAUGCUUCGCAUUGCCAGAUCGCUUCUUAGAGGGACUUCGUGUGACUAACACGAGGAAGUUGGGGGCAAUAACA